GCACUCGGUAGGUGAGAGGUGCCCGUCGAUCGAUGGGAGGUGAGGGCGGUCGAUCGAUAUCAGUUUCUCUAUGGCGGUCGAAUGCUGGCUCAUACCGUCGAUCGAUUUUGACGUAGAAAAGGGAGGGUGGGUGAGGAUGUUUUUCUGCGAAUUCCUCAUGAGUCAUGAUCCGAACUGCACUACACUCCGCAGUCGAUUUAGCAGGUGACGUCGAUCGAUGGUUAGAGUAAUCCGUUGAUCGA
This 242-nucleotide long non-coding RNA is filed under the name Brassica napus (rape). RNAcentral's name for it is "long non-coding RNA (BNAP_LNC023649)". Lineage: Eukaryota; Viridiplantae; Streptophyta; Magnoliopsida; Brassicales; Brassicaceae. The record is from RNAcentral.